This 365-nucleotide ribosomal RNA is filed under the name uncultured Glomeraceae. RNAcentral describes it as "partial large subunit ribosomal RNA". Lineage: Eukaryota; Fungi; Glomeromycota; Glomeromycetes; Glomerales; Glomeraceae. The record is from RNAcentral.
CAGUCGUACCUAUGGGUAAUCAGCCUUUUGGGUGUGAUUAUGUGGAGCGUGAGGAGUUAAACGCCUUCAUGCUUGCAUAUUCGUGCACUUUGGGUGUACUUGCCCGUAUGGUUGGUUAACAUCAAUUUUGGUGGUCAUAAAAUGACUGGAGGAAUGUAGCUUCGAUCUCGUAUUGAAGUGUUAUAGCCUUCGGUAGAUGUGAUGAUCGAGAUUGAGGAUUGCAACGGAUACCCUUCGGGGCUACCUGUCUGAUCUCUGAUCGUUGCUCUGGUGCCGAAAGCUUGCUUACGGUUAUCAAAGUCGAUGGUCAAUAGGUUAGAACGGGUUAAAUUCGUUAAGGAUGUUGACGUAAUGGCUUUAAACGA